AAUCAACGCUGGCGGCGUGCCUCAGACAUGCAAGUCGAACGCGAAAGGUUCCUUCGGGAACCGAGUAGAGUGGCGCACGGGUGAGUAACACGUAGGUAAUUUGCCUUUGGGUGGGGAAUAACUCAGGGAAACUUGAGCUAAUACCGCAUAAUGCAGCGGCUCGACAUCGAGACAGUUGUUAAAGCGGGGGAUCGCAAGACCUCGCGCCUAAAGAGAAGCCUGCGGCAGAUUAGCUAGUUGGUAGGGUAAUGGCCUACCAAGGCAACGAUCUGUAACCGGCCUGAGAGGGCGGUCGGUCACACUGACACUGACAUACGGUCAGACUCCUACGGAGGCAGCAGUCGGGAAUUUUGGGCAAUGGGCGAAAGCCUGACCCAGCAACGCCGCGUGAAGGAU
Molecule: ribosomal RNA, 396 nt
Filed under: uncultured bacterium
Lineage: Bacteria
Description: bacterial SSU rRNA
Rfam family: Bacterial small subunit ribosomal RNA
Source: RNAcentral